This 517-nucleotide ribosomal RNA is filed under the name Pseudomonas sp. Hugh2768. RNAcentral describes it as "bacterial SSU rRNA". It matches the Rfam family "Bacterial small subunit ribosomal RNA", at positions 8 to 521 of the family's 1533-position model. The record is from RNAcentral. Lineage: Bacteria; Pseudomonadati; Pseudomonadota; Gammaproteobacteria; Pseudomonadales; Pseudomonadaceae.
AGAGUUUGAUCCUGGCUCAGAUUGAACGCUGGCGGCAGGCCUAACACAUGCAAGUCGAGCGGAUGACGGGAGCUUGCUCCUUGAUUCAGCGGCGGACGGGUGAGUAAUGCCUAGGAAUCUGCCUGGUAGUGGGGGACAACGUUUCGAAAGGAACGCUAAUACCGCAUACGUCCUACGGGAGAAAGCAGGGGACCUUCGGGCCUUGCGCUAUCAGAUGAGCCUAGGUCGGAUUAGCUAGUUGGUGGGGUAAUGGCUCACCAAGGCGACGAUCCGUAACUGGUCUGAGAGGAUGAUCAGUCACACUGGAACUGAGACACGGUCCAGACUCCUACGGGAGGCAGCAGUGGGGAAUAUUGGACAAUGGGCGAAAGCCUGAUCCAGCCAUGCCGCGUGUGUGAAGAAGGUCUUCGGAUUGUAAAGCACUUUAAGUUGGGAGGAAGGGCAGUAAGUUAAUACCUUGCUGUUUUGACGUUACCGACAGAAUAGCACCGGCUAACUCUGUGCCAGCAGCCGCGGU